AUGACCAACACAUGCAAGUCGAACGGCAGCACGGGCUUCGGCCUGGUGGCGAGUGGCGAACGGGUGAGUAAUACAUCGGAACGUGCCCUGUAGUGGGGGAUAACUAGUCGAAAGAUUAGCUAAUACCGCAUAUCGACCUGAGGGUGAAUAGGCGGGGGACCGSAUAGGCUCGUCCGUCGCCGUGACCGAGAGGACGCCUGGCCAGGCACUGAUUUGGUGGUACUGACAUCGCCGUGACGUUUGGUGUGGUUGGGGUGGGAGGUGAGAUACACGACACGUCACCUCACACGAGACAGACACGACUGCAUCCUGGCGUCGGCGCGCGGGAUCGCUGAAAAAGAAGCGUAACUGCAUCGCAGGGACCCCAGCGUAGGCGGAGGGAGACAUAAGCAAUGAGAAACCGGAAGCCGAGGCCGCAACCACCAACCGCCAAAUCUUUAAUCCCUGUCGACGCUGGAGCGCGGAAAGGGGGCCCGCAGGCCCAAGGGCUGGGGGUGGAGGAAGAGUAUAUUUUGAUGCGAAGCCGAAAACGUGGGAGGUGGGGGGGCGGACGCAGAACCCACCCACACCGUACAGACAAAUAUGACA
This 588-nucleotide ribosomal RNA is filed under the name beta proteobacterium EL2. RNAcentral describes it as "partial 16S ribosomal RNA". The stretch from base 12 to 307 matches the Rfam family "Bacterial small subunit ribosomal RNA", at positions 55 to 353 of the family's 1533-position model. The record is from RNAcentral. Lineage: Bacteria; Pseudomonadati; Pseudomonadota; Betaproteobacteria.